GGAUGUAGCUCAGUGGUAGAGCGUCCUCUUUGCAUGUGAAGGGCCGGGGUUCGAUCCCCCGCAUCUCCA
This 69-nucleotide transfer RNA is filed under the name Nematostella vectensis (starlet sea anemone). It matches the Rfam family "tRNA". From Rfam's summary of the family: Transfer RNA (tRNA) molecules are approximately 80 nucleotides in length. Their secondary structure includes four short double-helical elements and three loops (D, anti-codon, and T loops). The record is from Rfam by way of RNAcentral. Lineage: Eukaryota; Metazoa; Cnidaria; Anthozoa; Actiniaria; Edwardsiidae.